CCUACGGGUGGCAGCAGUGAGGAAUAUUGGUCAAUGGCCGGAAGGCUGAACCAGCCAAGCCGCGUGAGGGAAGACGGCCCUAUGGGUUGUAAACCUCUUUUGUCGGAGAACAAAACCCGGGACGUGUCCCGGCCUGCGUGUAUCCGAAGAAAAAGCAUCGGCUAACUCCGUGCCAGCAGCCGCGGUAAUACGGAGGAUGCGAGCGUUAUCCGGAUUUAUUGGGUUUAAAGGGUGCGUAGGCGGUCCGUUAAGUCAGCGGUAAAAUUGCGGGGCUCAACCCCGUCGAGCCGUUGAAACUGGCAGACUUGAGUUGGCGAGAAGUACGCGGAAUGCGCGGUGUAGCGGUGAAAUGCAUAGAUAUCGCGCAGAACUCCGAUUGCGAAGGCAGCGUACCGGCGCCAGACUGACGCUGAGGCACGAAAGCGUGGGGAUCGAACAGGAUUAGAUACCCUGGUAGUC
This 459-nucleotide ribosomal RNA is filed under the name uncultured bacterium. Its description in RNAcentral is "partial 16S ribosomal RNA". It matches the Rfam family "Bacterial small subunit ribosomal RNA", at positions 338 to 795 of the family's 1533-position model. The record is from RNAcentral.